Molecule: ribosomal RNA, 253 nt
Filed under: uncultured bacterium
Lineage: Bacteria
Description: partial 16S ribosomal RNA
Rfam family: Bacterial small subunit ribosomal RNA
Source: RNAcentral
UACGGAGGGUGCAAGCGUUAUCCGGAUUCACUGGGUUUAAAGGGUGCGUAGGCGGGCAGGUAAGUCCGUGGUGAAAUCUCUGAGCUUAACUCAGAAACUGCCAUGGAUACUAUUUGUCUUGAAUGUUGUGGAGGUAAGCGGAAUAUGUCAUGUAGCGGUGAAAUGCUUAGAUAUGACAUAGAACACCGAUUGCGGAGGCAGCUUACUACACAAAUAUUGACGCUGAGGCACGAAAGCGUGGGGAUCAAACAGG